CCAGACUCCUACGGGAGGCAGCAGUGGGGAAUAUUGCACAAUGGGGGAAACCCUGAUGCAGCGACGCCGCGUGAGUGAAGAAGCGCCUCGGCGCGUAAAGCUCUGUCAGCAGGAACGAUAAUGACGGUACCUGAAGAAGAAGCCCCGGCUAACUACGUGCCAGCAGCCGCGGUAAUACGUAGGGGGCAAGCGUUAUCCGGAUUUACUGGGUGUAAAGGGAGCGUAGGCGGCGAUGCAAGUCAGAAGUGAAAGCCCGGGGCUCAACUCCGGGACUGCUUUUGAAACUGUAUGGCUAGAUUGCAGGAGAGGCAAGUGGAAUUCCUAGUGUAGCGGUGAAAUGCGUAGAUAUUAGGAGGAACACCAGUGGCGAAGGCGGCUUGCUGGACUGUAAAUGACGCUGAGGCUCGAAAGCGUGGGGAGCAAACAGGAUUAGAUACCCCGGUAAC
RNAcentral lists this ribosomal RNA (446 nucleotides) under uncultured bacterium. RNAcentral describes it as "bacterial SSU rRNA". It matches the Rfam family "Bacterial small subunit ribosomal RNA", at positions 331 to 794 of the family's 1533-position model. The record is from RNAcentral.